UUAAUAAAUUUUAAUUUAGUUUAUAUAUUAAUUAAAUUUUAUUUAUAUAUAUAUAAUUAAUUUAAUAUUUAUUUUAAAUAAAUAAAUAUAAUAAUUUAAUAUAUAAUUUUAUUAAAUAAAUAAUUUUAUUAUAGGUAUAAAUUAAAUUUUGGUGAAUUUUUGUGCCAGCAUCAGCGGUUAAACUUAAGAAAUAAAUUAAUAUUAUUUAUAUAUAUACAUAUAAUACAUUAAAUAAAUUAUAAAAAAUAAAUAUUUAUAAUAAAAUAAAAUAUUUAUAUUAUUUAUAAUUUUUUUUGAAUAUAUAAUUAAAAAAAUAUUAUAAUAAAUUAGGAUUAGAUACCCUAUUAUAAAUAUAAUAAUAUAAUAAUAAAUUAGUAUAAUUAAUAAAAAUUUAAAAAUUAUGACGGUAUUUUAAUCUAUUUAGAGGAACUUGUUAAUUAAUUGAUAAUCCACGAAAAGAUAAACUUUAAUUAUAUUUAUGUAUGUUCGUUAUAAAAAUAUUUUAUAAAAAAAUUUUUGAAUAAUUUUAUAUAAUUACAUUUCAGAUCAAUAUUUAAUUAUAUUAAAGAAUAUAAUGAGUUACAAUAAUAUAUAAAUUAAUUAAAUUUAUAUUAAAUAAUUUAAAUUAAAUAGGAUUUAAUAGUAAUAUUAAUAAAUUAAUUAAUAUGAAUAAAGUAUAAAAUAUGUACAAAUUGCCCGUCAAUUCUAUAAAUGAAUAAGUCGUAACAAAGUAAAAAUACUGGAAAGUGUUUUUUGAAAUAAA
RNAcentral lists this non-coding RNA (763 nucleotides) under Pachycrepoideus vindemmiae. The record is from RNAcentral. Lineage: Eukaryota; Metazoa; Arthropoda; Insecta; Hymenoptera; Pteromalidae.